This 407-nucleotide ribosomal RNA is filed under the name uncultured bacterium. Its description in RNAcentral is "partial 16S ribosomal RNA". It matches the Rfam family "Bacterial small subunit ribosomal RNA", at positions 30 to 526 of the family's 1533-position model. The record is from RNAcentral.
AUUGAACGCUGGCGGCAGGCCUAACACAUGCAAGUCGAGCGGAGCGGCGGACGGGUGAGUAAUGCCUAGGAAUCUGCCUGGUAGUGGGGGAUAACGUCCGGAAACGGGCGCUAAUACCGCAUCCUAUCAGAUGAGCCUAGGUUGGAUUUGCUAGUUGGGGGGGUAAAGGCCUACCAAGGCGCCGAUCCGUCACUGGUCUGCGAGGAUGAUCAGUCACACGUGAACUGAGACAGGGUCCAGACGCCUACGGGAGGAAGCGGUGGGGAAUAUUGGACAAUGGGAGAAAGCCUGAUCCGGCCAUGCCACGUGUGUGAAGAAGGUCUUCGGAUUGUAAAGCACUGUAAGUUGGGAGGCGUUACCAACAGAAUAAGCACCGGCUAACUUCGUGCCAGCAGCCGCGGUAAUUC